This 553-nucleotide non-coding RNA is filed under the name Pan troglodytes (chimpanzee). Lineage: Eukaryota; Metazoa; Chordata; Mammalia; Primates; Hominidae. The record is from RNAcentral.
GGUGGGGUAACUGAGGCCCCAUGAAGUUAAAGAAUGUUCCUGAAGUCUCUCAGCAAUUCUCAAGUCCCAUCUUAUUUGAAGCAUGUAUUCCUGACAUGGGUCCCAUAACUGCUCUCAGCAGAUGAAUAUUAACGAAACCCAAACCUUUCGGGUGACCGUGAUCUUGUUCGUCUUUUUUUGCGAUCACCAGAUGAAGAAGAUCUAGAACGACUUCUCUUUCUGUUCCUCUCAGGAGAAGAUGAUGAACUUGAAUAAGAUCUUUUUCGUGGGGAAGAAGAGCCCCUGUGGGACCUGGAGCUGGAUCUUCAUUGAUUGAGAAACAAAUCAAACAUUUCAUUAAAAGAAGAAAUAAGGAAGAUUAUUUAGUUAUCAGAUAGCUCCAAAAAUAAACAGGAUUUAUAACAACUAUGAAAAUUUUAUAAGGAAGAAUACUUACUGCUUAUUCAACAGAAGACUUCUGGAUCAAUCAUGAAAACAUUCUACUUAAACAUUUUAAUUUUGUCUCUUUAAAAUUCUAUCAUGUGUAAUUAAAACCCUGCUUACUAUAUCAAAA